Molecule: ribosomal RNA, 585 nt
Filed under: Turbo haynesi
Lineage: Eukaryota; Metazoa; Mollusca; Gastropoda; Trochida; Turbinidae
Description: partial 16S ribosomal RNA
Rfam family: Bacterial large subunit ribosomal RNA
Source: RNAcentral
CGCUCUCUGAAGAUUUUUAUUAAUAAAUUAAUCAAAUACUUCUAUAGAGAGUCGGACCUGCCCGGUGACUAAUAUGUUAAACGGCCGCGGUACCCUGACCGUGCAAAGGUAGCAUAAUCAUUUGCCUUUUAAUUGGAGGCUGGUAUGAAUGGUUUGACGAGAGCUAAGCUGUCUCUUUUUAAAUAUAUAUAAAUUAAUUUUUAGGUGAAGAAGCCUAAAUUUAAUUGAGGGACAAGAAGACCCCGUUGAGCUUUAGUGAUUUAGUAGAUAUAUUUAUAGUGUAUUGAGAUUAUUUAUAUUUUGUUACAUUUUAAUGAAAACGUUAUUUACUAAUAUAUCUUUAGUUGGGGCGACUGAGGAACAAAUAAAGCUUCCUUUAUUAAUGAAAUGAUUUGUUUAUGAAAGCAGUUUAUCUAUGAUGAUCCAGUAUUUACUGAUUAAAGGAAUAAGUUACCACGGGGAUAACAGCGUAAUCUUUCUAGAGAGUUCUUAUCGAAAGGAGGGUUUGCGACCUCGAUGUUGGACUAAGAUAUCCUAGAAAUGCAGAAGUUUCUAAAGGUUAGUCUGUUCGACUAUUAAAAUCUU